RNAcentral lists this ribosomal RNA (495 nucleotides) under uncultured bacterium. Its description in RNAcentral is "partial 16S ribosomal RNA". It matches the Rfam family "Bacterial small subunit ribosomal RNA", at positions 28 to 507 of the family's 1533-position model. The record is from RNAcentral.
GACGAACGCUGGCGUCGUGCCUAAUACAUGCAAGUAGAACGCUGAAGGAGGAGCUUGCUUCUCUGGAUGAGUUGCGAACGGGUGAGUAACGCGUAGGUAACCUGCCUGGUAGCGGGGGAUAACUAUUGGAAACGAUAGCUAAUACCGCAUAAGAGUAGAUGUCGCACGACAUUUGCUUAAAAGGUGCAAUUGCAUCACUACCAGAUGGACCUGCGUUGUAUUAGCUAGUUGGUGAGGUAACGGCUCACCAAGGCAACGAUACAUAGCCGACCUGAGAGGGUGAUCGGCCACACUGGGACUGAGACACGGCCCAGACUCCUACGGGAGGCAGCAGUAGGGAAUCUUCGGCAAUGGACGGAAGUCUGACCGAGCAACGCCGCGUGAGUGAAGAAGGUUUUCGGAUCGUAAAGCUCUGUUGUAAGAGAAGAACGAGUGUGAGAGUGGAAAGUUCACACUGUGACGGUAUCUUACCAGAAAGGGACGGCUAACUACGUG